GUAGGUGGCAAGCGUUGUCCGGAAUUAUUGGGCGUAAAGCGCGCGCAGGGCGGUCCUUUAAGUCUGAUGUGAAAGCCCACGGCUCAACCGUGGAGGGUCAUUGGAAACUGGGGGACUUGAGUACAGAAGAGGAAAGCGGAAUUCCAAGUGUAGCGGUGAAAUGCGUAGAGAUUUGGAGGAACACCAGUGGCGAAGGCGGCUUUCUGGUCUGUAACUGACGCUGAGGCGCGAAAGCGUGGGGAGCAAACAGGAUUAGAUACCCUGGUAGUCCACGCCGUAAACGAUGAGUGCUAAGUGUUAGGGGGUUUCCGCCCCUUAGUGCUGCAGCCAACGCAUUAAGCACUCCGCCUGGGGAGUACGGCCGCAAAGGCUG
RNAcentral lists this ribosomal RNA (373 nucleotides) under uncultured organism. RNAcentral describes it as "partial 16S ribosomal RNA". It matches the Rfam family "Bacterial small subunit ribosomal RNA", at positions 527 to 896 of the family's 1533-position model. The record is from RNAcentral.